GUAUCAGAAGUGCGAAUGCUGACAUGAGUAACGACAAGGGGAGUGAGAAGCUCCCCCGCCGGAAGACCAAGGGUUCCUGCGCAACGCUAAUCGGCGCAGGGUGAGUCGGCCCCUAAGGUGAGGUCGAAAGACGUAAUCGAUGGGAAACAGGUCAAUAUUCCUGUACCCCUUCUGACUGCGAUGGAGUGACGGAGAAGGCUAGGUCAGCGCAGCGUUGGUUGUCUGCGUUUAAGAUCGUAGGCUGGGGAUCCAGGCAAAUCCGGAUCCUCAAGGCCGAGAAUUGAUGACGAGGCUCUACGGAGCUGAAGUGAUUGAUGCCAUGCUUCCAGGAAAAACUUCUAAGCUUCAGGUCAGAAGGGACCGUACCCCAAACCGACACAGGUGGUCAGGUAGAGAAUACCAAGGCGCUUGAGAGAACUCGGGUGAAGGAACUAGGCAAAAUGGCACCGUAACUUCGGGAGAAGGUGCGCCGGCUUUGGUGAUCGGACUUGCUCCGUAAGCUGAGGCUGGUCGAAGAUACCAGGUGGCUGCGACUGUUUAUUAAAAACACAGCACUGUGCAAACACGAAAGUGGACGUAUACGGUGUGACGCCUGCCCGGUGCCGGAAGGUUAAUUGAUGGGGUUAUCU
This 629-nucleotide ribosomal RNA is filed under the name Thalassotalea sp. G20_0. Its description in RNAcentral is "partial 23S ribosomal RNA". It matches the Rfam family "Bacterial large subunit ribosomal RNA", at positions 1279 to 1895 of the family's 2925-position model. Lineage: Bacteria; Pseudomonadati; Pseudomonadota; Gammaproteobacteria; Alteromonadales; Colwelliaceae. The record is from RNAcentral.